Molecule: non-coding RNA, 71 nt
Filed under: pig gut metagenome
Source: RNAcentral
UAAUCGGGGUGCCGUAUGGCUGAGAUUAUACCCGUUGAACCUGUAAGAUAAUGCUUGCGUAGGGAUUGGAG